RNAcentral lists this transfer RNA (79 nucleotides) under Butyricicoccus sp. AM28-25. Its description in RNAcentral is "tRNA-Met". It matches the Rfam family "tRNA". From Rfam's summary of the family: Transfer RNA (tRNA) molecules are approximately 80 nucleotides in length. Their secondary structure includes four short double-helical elements and three loops (D, anti-codon, and T loops). Further hydrogen bonds mediate the characteristic L-shaped molecular structure. tRNAs have two regions of fundamental functional importance: the anti-codon, which is responsible for specific mRNA codon recognition, and the 3' end, to which the tRNAs corresponding amino acid is attached (by aminoacyl-tRNA synthetases). tRNAs cope with the degeneracy of the genetic code in two manners: having more than one tRNA (with a specific anti-codon) for a particular amino acid; and 'wobble' base-pairing, i.e. permitting non-standard base-pairing at the 3rd anti-codon position. The record is from RNAcentral. RNAcentral also lists the same sequence under 1 other name. Lineage: Bacteria; Bacillati; Bacillota; Clostridia; Eubacteriales; Butyricicoccaceae.
GGGUCUUUAGCGCAACUGGUUAGUGCAUUCGGCUCAUAACCGAAAGAUUUUGCGGGUUCGAGUCCCGCAGGACCCACCA